Molecule: ribosomal RNA, 252 nt
Filed under: uncultured bacterium
Lineage: Bacteria
Description: partial 16S ribosomal RNA
Rfam family: Bacterial small subunit ribosomal RNA
Source: RNAcentral
ACGUAGGUGGCAAGCGUUGUCCGGAAUUAUUGGGCGUAAAGCGCGCGCAGGCGGUCCUUUAAGUCUGAUGUGAAAGCCCACGGCUCAACCGUGGAGGGUCAUUGGAAACUGGGGGACUUGAGUACAGAAGAGGAAAGCGGAAUUCCACGUGUAGCGGUGAAAUGCGUAGAGAUGUGGAGGAACACCAGUGGCGAAGGCGGCUUUCUGGUCUGUAACUGACGCUGAGGCGCGAAAGCGUGGGGAGCAAACAGG